This 1422-nucleotide long non-coding RNA is filed under the name Nicotiana tabacum (common tobacco). Its description in RNAcentral is "long non-coding RNA (NTAB_LNC016501)". The record is from RNAcentral. Lineage: Eukaryota; Viridiplantae; Streptophyta; Magnoliopsida; Solanales; Solanaceae.
UCGCAUUUUGCUAUAUAGAAUUUGGCAGACUUGUUUUUCUUAGCUGACGUAAAACUCUAGCAACCUCAAAAGUAGAACCUCAGUCUAAUUGAAUUGCUAAAUGGCAACAACCAGAAGACCAUUGUAGUCAGAAAAAGAAAAGCUAGUAUUAAAUUACUAAAGCAUAUUUAUGGGAUAACAACAAUAUUUUCUAUUUGAAAAUGCACUUAUUGACAAUAAAAAGCAAAAACUGGAAAAGAAAUUAAAGAAGACUAACUAACUCCAGCUCUCACGAAAAAAAUAAGGCGAUGGCAAAUUUAGCAAGUUGCUGGAAACUAGCACCACAGAUAAACAAUCCCCACAAAAGUGCAUCGCUUCAAAAGAGAAUACAACUGAAAAGUGUAAAAGAAGCAUAAUCAGAAUAAUAUUUAGUUGCAGCAAAUGAAUCAAAAACGACUCACAGAGAAUAGUAAACCCCAACUAAUGGGAAAAAAAGAAAGCAGCAAUCUCACGUUUGAUUCUUUUUAUACGUCGUCACUUUUGGGUUUUUCAACACACCUUAAACCUUAUACUCCAACUCUAUGAUAUGCUUAAUUUAGCCCUUUUAUUGAACCCCCUUUUUCUUUUACAAUCGGUGUUUGCAUUCUUUAAUAACUACUUUUACGGAGAUGGUUAACCGAGUCGUUAAACUGACUUCGAAAUAAAUUGGAUAACUUAGAUAUUUACAGGUACAAAAUUGACAAUUUAUUUGGGUUAAUCCUGUUAGGAGACAAAAAAAAUUGUAUCUAAACCAUAACUUCAGAAAUAGUUAAUGUAAUAACAAUUUUGCAAAAUUUAAACAAAAUCACCUUGGUUUCUUUUUUAAGUUUAAAUAUAAUUAUGGACAAAUACCUAAUAUUCUGAGAUAUUUUUCAUCUCCAGGAGACCAAUUGGUACAACUUUUCAUUUCCAUCUACUCCUUUUUAUUUUUUCUCUCUAUGCAUUUGAUAGCACAAAUAGAGGAGUGGAAGGCCGUAAAACUUUUGUAUCUCAGAACCCAACAUCUUAUUUUCAAAAAACUCCAACUGAAUCAUUGUUACAAAAAUCGUCCAAGUGUAAGAAUGUAAUUUACAUAUAUCUGUUAAAAUUUAAAUGAAUAUUACAAAAAUGGGCAACAAAUAUCAAAUUGAUGCAAAUUUGAUUGUUAAAAUUUUGCUAAAAUCACGUAAGAAAUUCGAGAAGAAAACCUAAGAAUCUUUAAAACAGAGACAUAAGAUUUACCUUGCGCUCUAGAAUCCUCAUUGGAGGCUACUCCCUAAUCCUCCAUGGAGAAGAGUGAUAUUGUCCAUAUUCCGGCGGUAAUGAGUAAUCCCCGUUCUUUAGGAGUGUUAAUGUUAAACGACCCCUAAAGGUUGACGUUUAGAGUUAAUAAAAGGAAGAGACGCAUUCGUUAAGAAUAUUAAA